This 400-nucleotide ribosomal RNA is filed under the name Staphylococcus sp. HMSC061H04. Its description in RNAcentral is "bacterial LSU rRNA". It matches the Rfam family "Bacterial large subunit ribosomal RNA", at positions 1068 to 1471 of the family's 2925-position model. The record is from RNAcentral. Lineage: Bacteria; Bacillati; Bacillota; Bacilli; Caryophanales; Staphylococcaceae.
AAAGGAUGUGGCGUUGCCCAGACAACUAGGAUGUUGGCUUAGAAGCAGCCAUCAUUUAAAGAGUGCGUAAUAGCUCACUAGUCGAGUGACACUGCGCCGAAAAUGUACCGGGGCUAAACAUAUUACCGAAGCUGUGGAUUGUCCGUAGGACAAUGGUAGGAGAGCGUUCUAAGGGCGUUGAAGCAUGAUCGCAAGGACAUGUGGAGCGCUUAGAAGUGAGAAUGCCGGUGUGAGUAGCGAAAGACGGGUGAGAAUCCCGUCCACCGAUUGACUAAGGUUUCCAGAGGAAGGCUCGUCCGCUCUGGGUUAGUCGGGUCCUAAGCUGAGGCCGACAGGCGUAGGCGAUGGAUAACAGGUUGAUAUUCCUGUACCACCUAGCAUCGUUUUAAUCGAUGGGGGG